UGAUCCUGCCGGACUGACUGCUAUCGGAUUGGUACUAAGCCAUGCGAGUCGUUGUACAAUACAAGGCGGACUGCUCAGUAACACGUAGUUAACUUAACCUAUGGAUGGGGAUAACCUCGGGAAACUGAGAAUAAUACCCAAUGGACCACAGUGCCUGGAAUGGCCUGUGGUUGAAAUGAUUUAUCGCCGUAGGAUAGGACUGCGGCCUAUCAGCUUGUUGGUGAGGUAAUGGCCCACCAAGGCUAUAACAGGUACGGGCUCUGAGAGGAGGGGCCCGGAGAUGGGUACUGAGACACGGACCCAGGCCCUAUGGGGCGCAGCAGGCGAGAAACCUUUGCAAUGUGCGAAAGCACGACAAGGUUAAUCCGAGUGUCUCCUGCUAAAGGAGUCUUUUGUCAGUUGUAGAAUCACUGGUGAAUAAGGGGUGGGCAAGUUCUGGUGUCAGCCGCCGCGGUAAAACCAGCACCUCGAGUGGUCAGGAGGUUUAUUGGGCCUAAAGCAUCCGUAGCCGGUUGCAUAAGUUUUCGGUUAAAUCUAUGCGCUUAACGUAUAGGCCGNCGAAAAUACUGUGCAGCUAGGG
RNAcentral lists this ribosomal RNA (580 nucleotides) under uncultured archaeon. RNAcentral's name for it is "bacterial SSU rRNA". It matches the Rfam family "Archaeal small subunit ribosomal RNA", at positions 9 to 597 of the family's 1478-position model. The record is from RNAcentral.